AGCUUAUAUAUUUACAUUCACGCACAUUAGCGUACACACACACACACACACACACACACACACACACACACACACACACACACACACACACACACACACACACACACACACACACACACACACACACACACACACACACACACACAGUUGUGACUGCUGAAAGACGGGAACGUGGCCAAACUCUCAACAUGCAGCACAGCAACAUCCUGAAGCUCCUGCAAACUCUUCAGUUGCAUUUCUGACUCUGCAGCAAAAUUGAGAUGACGGGCGAACAAGGACAAAUCAAAAAGGUUACAGCGGAAGAGGAUUGUGUGAUGCGUUACUCACUGUCUCAUGGGUUGAUCAGUAUACGCUCUCGCAUGAGUCCUGUGAACAGGUGCCGCUCUAUUAUCAGCCUCCACACAGAUGUGAAGCUGCUGGGAAUAAGCAGGAAUAUCUUCACCUCAUGCCUGUCAUUCACCUUCACGUCUGCUUUGUUGAAUGACUGCAAGCUUUGCUCUCGAAACAAGAUUAGAGAUCCAUUACUGAAUCAUGUUGGGUCUAAGCAAACAGAGUCCCGGCUUCCAGCUCAUCCCACAUGGCACGGGCCGCAUCCAUCAUCGCACCAGUUCACCUCCCCUGAUACCCACACAAAAAGCCCACAUCAGUCUUAAUUGGACAUCAGCUAGAAAUCACUGGCAACGUUCAACCUUUGGUUCGCUACGACAACAACAGAUACAAAGGAAACAAACGAGCUGACGAGAGGAAUAAUUGGCUGUCGUUUUCCAUCCCACCAUUUGUUCUCACCAAGCUCUCUCGAGAGGGAAAAAAAAAAAGAAAAAAAUUCACAGGAAGCAAUGUCAGUGGAUCACAAACACAAAAGUGAGAAAUAUGGGAAUUCAAAGCCAUAAUGUGUCAGGUCUUAAUUGGAUGAUGGGAAAGAAUCACUCAAGGUUUCAAAUAAAUUGCUGCAAGUCUUGGAGAAAUGUAAUUAGAAGUGGAGAGUCUUUCUUUACAGAAUAACCCGCUUACAAUCCACAAUAGUCUACUUUAACAACAGAUUUAUUGUUUCACGUAAUAUAAUUUAUCGAAAAGUACAACUGUUACAUUUCUGGACAACUAGCAUCACAAAAUUAAAGGGGUAGUCUGACCACAAAAUGUAUAUUGUGUCAUCAUUUACU
Molecule: long non-coding RNA, 1160 nt
Filed under: Danio rerio (zebrafish)
Lineage: Eukaryota; Metazoa; Chordata; Actinopteri; Cypriniformes; Danionidae
Description: lncRNA (ENSDARG00000117627.1)
Source: RNAcentral